AAUUCCACCCUGAACCCUAGGAGUGGGGUAAGGGUGGGUGCCUAAAUUGACGGGGUUACGCCUGAGCCCUAGGAAGUGGGUAAAAGUGGGUGCCCUAGAGUGUGUGAGUAACAGAGAAUUUUGUGCGGGUAACAGCCAAGA
This is a long non-coding RNA of Dermochelys coriacea (leatherback sea turtle), 141 nucleotides long. RefSeq lists it as uncharacterized. NCBI's taxonomy places the organism in Eukaryota, Metazoa, Chordata, Testudines, Dermochelyidae. The transcript is spliced from 3 exons. The record is from RefSeq and is a predicted model, not a curated record.